RNAcentral lists this ribosomal RNA (650 nucleotides) under uncultured bacterium. RNAcentral's name for it is "bacterial SSU rRNA". It matches the Rfam family "Bacterial small subunit ribosomal RNA", at positions 42 to 671 of the family's 1533-position model. The record is from RNAcentral.
UCAGGCCUAACACAUGCAAGUCGAGCGGAAACGAGUUAUCUGAACCUUCGGGGAACGAUAACGGCGUCGAGCGGCGGACGGGUGAGUAAUGCCUAGGAAAUUGCCCUGAUGUGGGGGAUAACCAUUGGAAACGAUGGCUAAUACCGCAUGAUGCCUACGGGCCAAAGAGGGGGACCUUCGGGCCUCUCGCGUCAGGAUAUGUCUAGGUGGGAUUAGCUAGUUGGUGAGGUAAGGGCUCACCAAGGCGACGAUCCCUAGCUGGUCUGAGAGGAUGAUCAGCCACACUGGAACUGAGACACGGUCCAGACUCCUACGGGAGGCAGCAGUGGGGAAUAUUGCACAAUGGGCGCAAGCCUGAUGCAGCCAUGCCGCGUGUGUGAAGAAGGCCUUCGGGUUGUAAAGCACUUUCAGUCGUGAGGAAGGUAGUGUAGUUAAUAGCUGCAUUAUUUGACGUUAGCGACAGAAGAAGCACCGGCUAACUCCGUGCCAGCAGCCGCGGUAAUACGGAGGGUGCGAGCGUUAAUCGGAAUUACUGGGCGUAAAGCGCAUGCAGGUGGUUUGUUAAGUCAGAUGUGAAAGCCCGGGGCUCAACCUCGGAAUUGCAUUUGAAACUGGCAGACUAGAGUACUGUAGAGGGGGGUAGAAUUUCA